UGGGGAAUAUUGGACACUGGGCGAAAGCCUGAUCCAGCCAUGCCGCGUGUGUGAAGAAGGUCUUCGGAUUGUAAAGCACUUUAAGUUGGGAGGAAGGGCAGUAAGCGAAUACCUUGCUGUUUUGACGUUACCGACAGAAUAAGCACCGGCAAACUCUGUGCCAGCAGCCGCGGUAAAACAGAGGGUGCAAGCGUUAAUCGGAAUUACUGGGCGUAAAGCGCGCGUAGGUGGUUCGUUAAGUUGAAUGUGAAAGCCCCGGGCUCAACCUGGGAACUGCAUCCAAAACUGGCGAGCUAGAGUUGGUCAGAGGGUGGUGGAAUUUCCUGUGUAGCGGUGAAAUGCGUAGAUAUAGGAAGGAACACCAGUGGCGAAGGCGACCACCUGGGCUCAUACUGACACUGAGGUGCGAAAGCGUGGGGAGCAAACAGG
RNAcentral lists this ribosomal RNA (429 nucleotides) under Pseudomonadota bacterium. RNAcentral's name for it is "Proteobacteria bacterium partial 16S ribosomal RNA". It matches the Rfam family "Bacterial small subunit ribosomal RNA", at positions 355 to 776 of the family's 1533-position model. Lineage: Bacteria; Pseudomonadati; Pseudomonadota. The record is from RNAcentral.